UACGAAGGGGGCUAGCGUUGCUCGGAAUCACUGGGCGUAAAGCGCACGUAGGCGGUUUCUUAAGUCAGGGGUGAAAUCCUGGAGCUUAACUCCAGAACUGCCUUUGAUACUGAGAAGCUUGAGUCCGGGAGAGGUGAGUGGAACUGCGAGUGUAGAGGUGAAAUUCGUAGAUAUUCGCAAGAACACCAGUGGCGAAGGCGGCUCACUGGCCCGGUACUGACGCUGAGGUGCGAAAGCGUGGGGAGCAAACAGG
Molecule: ribosomal RNA, 253 nt
Filed under: uncultured bacterium
Lineage: Bacteria
Description: partial 16S ribosomal RNA
Rfam family: Bacterial small subunit ribosomal RNA
Source: RNAcentral